AGCUCCAGUAGCGUAUAUUAACGUUGUUGCAGUUAAAAAGCUCGUAGUUGGAUUUCUGGCUAGGGUCUCCUGAUCCCACGCGGUUACGCGUGCGCGUGUCGGCGAGGCUUGGCCAUCCUUCCGGGGAGUCCGUCUGCCCUUGAUUGGUGCGGGCGCGGCGACUCGGAUCGUUUACUUUGAAAAAAUUAGAGUGUUCAAAGCAGGCUUUAUGGCCUUGAAUACAUUAGCAUGGAACAUCACCAUAGGACUCUGGUUCUAUUUUGUUGGUUUCUAGGACUGAAGUAAUGAUUGAUAGGGAUAGUUGGGGGUGCUAGUAUUGGAUGGCCAGAGGUGAAAUUCUUAGAUUCAUUCAAGACUAACUAAAGCGAAAGCAUUCACCAAGGAUGUCUUCUUUAAUCAA
RNAcentral lists this ribosomal RNA (400 nucleotides) under phytoplankton environmental sample. RNAcentral's name for it is "partial small subunit ribosomal RNA". It matches the Rfam family "Eukaryotic small subunit ribosomal RNA", at positions 587 to 980 of the family's 1831-position model. The record is from RNAcentral.